Molecule: ribosomal RNA, 253 nt
Filed under: uncultured bacterium
Lineage: Bacteria
Description: partial 16S ribosomal RNA
Rfam family: Bacterial small subunit ribosomal RNA
Source: RNAcentral
UACGAAGGGGGCUAGCGUUGUUCGGAAUUACUGGGCGUAAAGCGCGCGCAGGCGGCUAUCCAAGUCAGUGGUGAAAGCCCGGAGCUCAACUCCGGAACUGCCAUUGAAACUGUUUAGCUUGAGGAUGAGAGAGGUGAGUGGAAUUCCCAGUGUAGAGGUGAAAUUCGUAGAUAUUGGGAAGAACACCGGUGGCGAAGGCGGAUCUCUGGGCCUUACCUGACGCUCAGGUGCGAAAGCUAGGGGAGCGAACAGG